AUACGGAAGGUCCGGGCGUUAUCCGGAUUUAUUGGGUUUAAAGGGAGCGCAGGCGGAGAUGCAAGCGUGACGUCAAAUUUCGGGGCUCAACCCCGUCUCGCGUCGCGAACUGCGUCCCUUGGUUGCGGGAAGGGGAGGCGGAACUCGGGGUGUAGCGGUGAAAUGCAUAGAUAUCACGAAGAACUCCGAUCGCGAAGGCAGCCUUCCGGCCCGUCAACGACGCUCAUGCUCGAAGGUGCGGGUAUCAAACAGGAUUAGAUACCCUGGUAGUCCGCACAGUAAACGAUGGACACCCGCGGUUUGGCCUAUAUGGCUGAGCCGCCAAGCGAAAGCGUUAAGUGUCCCACCUGGGGAGUACGCCGGCAACGGUGAGACUCAAAGGAAUUGGCGGGG
RNAcentral lists this ribosomal RNA (393 nucleotides) under uncultured bacterium. RNAcentral's name for it is "partial 16S ribosomal RNA". It matches the Rfam family "Bacterial small subunit ribosomal RNA", at positions 523 to 918 of the family's 1533-position model. The record is from RNAcentral.